GAUGAACGCUGGCGGCGUGCCUAAUACAUGCAAGUCGAGCGAACAGACGAGGCUCUUGCUCCUCUGACGUUAGCGGCGGACGGGUGAGUAACACGUGGAUAACCCACUUAUAAGACUGGGAUAACUUCGGGAAACCGGCGCUAACACCGGAUAAUCUAUUGAACCGCAUGGUUCAAUAGUGAAAGACGGCUUUGCUGUCACUUAUAGAUGGAUCCGCGCCGCAUUAGCUAGUUGGUAAGGUAACGGCUUACCAAGGCAACGAUGCGUAGCCGACGUGAGAGAGUGAUCGGCCACACUGGAGCUGAGACGCGGUCAAGGCGACUGAGAGAGGCAGCAGUAGGGAAUCGGCCGCAGUGGGCGAAAACCUGACGGAGCAGCGCCGCGUGAGAGAUGAAGGUCUUCGGAUCGUAAAACUCUGUUAUUAGGGAAGAACAAAUGUGUAAGUAACUAUGCACGUCUUGACGGUAACUAAUCAGAAAGCCACGGCUAACUACGUG
RNAcentral lists this ribosomal RNA (497 nucleotides) under uncultured bacterium. Its description in RNAcentral is "partial 16S ribosomal RNA". It matches the Rfam family "Bacterial small subunit ribosomal RNA", at positions 28 to 507 of the family's 1533-position model. The record is from RNAcentral.